UACCCUGGUAGUCCACGCCGUAAACGAUGUCGAUUUGGAGGUUGUGCCCUUGAGGCGUGGCUUCCGGAGCUAACGCGUUAAAUCGACCGCCUGGGGAGUACGGCCGCAAGGUUAAAACUCAAAUGAAUUGACGGGGGCCCGCACAAGCGGUGGAGCAUGUGGUUUAAUUCGAUGCAACGCGAAGAACCUUACCUGGUCUUGACAUCCACAGAACUUUCCAGAGAUGCUUUGGUGCCUUCGGGAACUGUGAGACAGGUGCUGCAUGGCUGUCGUCAGCUCGUGUUGUGAAAUGUUGGGUUAAGUCCCGCAACGAGCGCAACCCUUAUCCUUUGUUGCCAGCGGUUAGGCCGGGAACUCAAAGGAGACUGCCAGUGAUAAACUGGAGGAAGGUGGGGAUGACGUCAAGUCAUCAUGGCCCUUACGACCAGGGCUACACACGUGCUACAAUGGCGCAUACAAAGAGAAGCGACCUCGCGAGAGCAAGCGGACCUCAUAAAGUGCGUCGUAGUCCGGAUUGGAGUCUGCAACUCGACUCCAUGAAGUCGGAAUCGCAGUAAUCGUAGAUUCAGAAUGCUACGGUGAAUACGUUCCCGGGCCUUGUACACACCGCCCGUCACACCAUGGGAGUGGGUUGCAAAAGAAGUA
RNAcentral lists this ribosomal RNA (645 nucleotides) under Enterobacter cloacae. RNAcentral's name for it is "bacterial SSU rRNA". It matches the Rfam family "Bacterial small subunit ribosomal RNA", at positions 783 to 1428 of the family's 1533-position model. Lineage: Bacteria; Pseudomonadati; Pseudomonadota; Gammaproteobacteria; Enterobacterales; Enterobacteriaceae. The record is from RNAcentral.